GACGAACGCUGGCGGCGUGCCUAAUACAUGCAAGUAGAACGCACAGUUUAUACCGUAGCUUGCUACACCAUAGACUGUGAGUUGCGAACGGGUGAGUAACGCGUAGGUAACCUGCCUGGUAGCGGGGGAUAACUAUUGGAAACGAUAGCUAAAACCGCAUAAUAUUAAUUAUUGCAUGAUAAUUAAUUGAAAGGUGCAAUUGCACCACUACCAGAUGGACCUGCGUUGUAUUAGCUAGUAGGUGAGGUAACGGCUCACCUAGGCGACGAUACAUAGCCGACCUGAGAGGGUGAUCGGCCACACUGGGACUGAGACACGGCCCAGACUCCUACGGGAGGCAGCAGUAGGGAAUCUUCGGCAAUGGACGAAAGUCUGACCGAGCAACGCCGCGUGAGUGAAGAAGGUUUUCGGAUCGUAAAGCUCUGUUGUAAGAGAAGAACGGGUGUGAGAGUGGAAAGUUCACACUGUGACGGUAUCUUACCAGAAAGGGACGGCUAACUACGUG
Molecule: ribosomal RNA, 505 nt
Filed under: uncultured bacterium
Lineage: Bacteria
Description: partial 16S ribosomal RNA
Rfam family: Bacterial small subunit ribosomal RNA
Source: RNAcentral